UGGGGAAUUGUUCGCAAUGGGCGAAAGCCUGACGACGCAACGCCGCGUGGAGGAUGAAGGUCUUCGGAUUGUAAACUCCUGUUGCCAGGGACGAAUGACUCGCGAUCUAACACAUCGUGGGAAUGACGGUACCUGGUGAGGAAGCCCCGGCUAACUCUGUGCCAGCAGCCGCGGUAAUACAGAGGGGGCAAGCGUUGUUCGGAAUUACUGGGCGUAAAGGGCGCGUAGGCGGCCCACUAAGUCAGACGUGAAAUCCCUCGGCUCAACCGGGGAACUGCGUCUGAUACUGGAGGGCUUGAAUCCGGGAGAGGGAUGCGGAAUUCCAGGUGUAGCGGUGAAAUGCGUAGAUAUCUGGAGGAACACCGGUGGCGAAGGCGGCAUCCUGGACCGGCAUUGACGCUGAGGCGCGAAAGCUAGGGGAGCAAACGGG
Molecule: ribosomal RNA, 430 nt
Filed under: uncultured Acidobacteriota bacterium
Lineage: Bacteria; Pseudomonadati; Acidobacteriota
Description: bacterial SSU rRNA
Rfam family: Bacterial small subunit ribosomal RNA
Source: RNAcentral